UAGUCCCUUCCUUGAAGGAUCGGCAAGUCACACGCAGAGCCUCAAGCAAGGGACUUCC
Molecule: microRNA precursor, 58 nt
Filed under: Canis lupus familiaris (dog)
Lineage: Eukaryota; Metazoa; Chordata; Mammalia; Carnivora; Canidae
Description: Cfa-Mir-2114_pre stem-loop
Source: RNAcentral